ACAAAAAGAAAUAGCACCCUCAAAGUCCCAAGUUGACUGAUGCUGAAUCGAAAAGAAGAGAUUGACUGCCAUGUGUCAUGGUCAGUUAUAUCAGCAGAGAGUGAUGAAAGCAUUCGAUAAGAAGGUCAAGCCUAAGAAAUAGCACCCUCAAAGUCCCAAGUUGACUGAUGCUGAAUCGAAAAGAAGAGAUUGACUGCCAUGUGUCAUGGUCAGUUAUAUCAGCAGAGAGUGAUGAA
This 236-nucleotide long non-coding RNA is filed under the name Lathyrus oleraceus (garden pea). Its description in RNAcentral is "Pisum sativum (pea) long non-coding RNA (PSAT_LNC040101)". Lineage: Eukaryota; Viridiplantae; Streptophyta; Magnoliopsida; Fabales; Fabaceae. The record is from RNAcentral.